CUUCAACAUUACAUCAGCAUUCUUUGAGGGGGUUUCUAGAGUCCAGCCAUGCCCGUGUUAUAUUUACUCAGGAAGCCCCAGAACAAUAAGCAAAUGGCUCUCUACUCUUCAUUGUGUAUAACUAGAGUGACUCCUUACAGAGAAAUUUCUGUGGUAUCUCAAGUGACUUAUUUAAUUCUCUCAUUUUGUCCCACUAAAAGAUUUCUUAUACAUGCAGAGCCCUUUAACCCCCACCCCAGGCUGGAGUCCUGUUCAUUGCCUCAGUUUGCCCAGCAUAGAGAGCCUCUGGGAUGUUCUGAGGGUGACUGAAAUGCUGAGCAUGUUAAAGUUCCUCUACCUCAAGAGAGCUUUCCUGACCUGACUCUUUCUCUUCGGAUGCUCCUUGACCCCCACCACCACCCAGUUCCCAUACCCCCUCCUGCUGCCCAUCGCGGUAUCCCGUCCUGAUUAGACAGGACAGCCCAGCAGAAGCUGAGACAGACAGCAGAGAAUGGAGGCUACUCAUGGGUGCGUGGCUCUCUAAGCAAGCUCAUCUCCUGUCUCAAGCACGGCCCUAGCAAGGGCAGCUUCAGCAGCACAGAGGCCUCAGGACUGGGUUUUAUGGGAGCUAUAGGUUGGGCACGGGAUGGAAGCCAAGGUGUGUGGCUCCAAGAUGUGGAUGAGCCUGGACCUUUCUUCCUCCACUCCCCACCAGACUG
This 698-nucleotide long non-coding RNA is filed under the name Rattus norvegicus (Norway rat). RNAcentral's name for it is "long non-coding RNA NONRATT003793". The record is from RNAcentral. Lineage: Eukaryota; Metazoa; Chordata; Mammalia; Rodentia; Muridae.